This 253-nucleotide ribosomal RNA is filed under the name uncultured bacterium. Its description in RNAcentral is "partial 16S ribosomal RNA". It matches the Rfam family "Bacterial small subunit ribosomal RNA", at positions 524 to 776 of the family's 1533-position model. The record is from RNAcentral.
UACGUAGGGGGCAAGCGUUGUCCGGAUUUAUUGGGCGUAAAGAGCGUGUAGGCGGCCUUACAAGUCAGCUGUGAAAACUCGAGGCUCAACCUCGAGACGUCGGUUGAAACCGUAAGGCUAGAGUCCGGAAGAGGAGAGUGGAAUUCCCGGUGUAGCGGUGAAAUGCGCAGAUAUCGGGAAGAACACCCGUGGCGAAGGCGGCUCUCUGGGACGGUACUGACGCUGAGACGCGAAAGCGUGGGGAGCGAACAGG